Molecule: long non-coding RNA, 357 nt
Organism: Zootermopsis nevadensis
Lineage: Eukaryota; Metazoa; Arthropoda; Insecta; Blattodea; Termopsidae
Source: RefSeq, a predicted model, not a curated record
CACUUGUAUAAAGAACGAUUCUGACAGCAGCGAAGUAGCGGGUCACAGACAAUUACCGUAACUUAGGGCAGAGGAUAUGAACAUACGCUGGUUGGUUCGAGAUAUCGCAUACUUCAUUUCAUGUGUGUACGGACGGAAACCUAAAAGUGAAUUUUAGGACAAACACAAACUUCAUUUUGUUUAAACUGCAACUAUCGCAUAACAGCAGAGAUAACUGUACACAUCAAUCACAUGAAAGAAUCGCAGUCAAUCGCGGGACCAACGAAUUGCCGAUUGGGUGUAUAUCCAUCCGAACUGCACAGAUAAUCCAUUCUUUGCCAAUUGCCGCCUCAUUGUGGCUGGGCAAUAUUGUACACA